Molecule: ribosomal RNA, 244 nt
Filed under: Ancrocorticia populi
Lineage: Bacteria; Bacillati; Actinomycetota; Actinomycetes; Actinomycetales; Actinomycetaceae
Description: Actinomycetaceae bacterium sk1b4 partial 23S ribosomal RNA
Rfam family: Bacterial large subunit ribosomal RNA
Source: RNAcentral
GAGGACCGGGACGGACGAACCACUGGUGUGCCAGUUGUUCCGCCAGGAGCAUGGCUGGUUGGCUACGUUCGGUAAGGAUAACCGCUGAAAGCAUCUAAGCGGGAAGCCUGCUUCAAGAUAAGUUCUCCAUCAACAUACGUUGUGUAGGCCCCCUAUAGAUGAUGGGGUUGAUAGGCCAGACGUGGACACAGAGUAAUCUGUGGAGCUGACUGGUACUAAUGCGCCAAAACCAACCUAAAACAAC